NNNGGAGACCUGGGGGGCACCAGGGGACAUGGGGGGCACUCGGGGGGGAUCCCAGGGAUGUGGGUGGCACUGGUGGAUGCAGGGGGACACUGGGGAAUGGGGGGACAUCAGGGGAACAUGGGGGGCAUCCAGGGGGACACGGGUGGCUCCUGGGUCCUGGCCCAACUCCCCUCUGCUCGCACAGACAUGCCGACCACAGGGGACGGCGACGGSGACGGGGACUUGGCCCACGGUCAGUAACGCCCAUCAUCCCCCUGAGCACCCACCGGGUGAUGCUGCGUGUCAUGAGACCCCGGGGACCAGGGAGGGACCCGAGGACCAGGAGGGACCCCGGAGACCAGGAGGGAGCCCAGGGACCAGGGAGGGACCCGGGAACCAGGGAGGAACCCAGAUGUCCUGAGCAUUGGGGGUGGGCAUGGGGGACCAAGGGGGGACCCCAGGGACUGGGGAGGGUCCUGGGGACCAGGAGAGACCCCAGAGACCGUGGAGGGACACAAGGACCAGGAGAGACCCUAGGGCCAAUGGAGAGACCCCCAGGACCAGGGAGGGACCAAAGGACCAGGAAGGACCACAGGGACCAUGGAGGGACCCCAAGCACCAGGGAGGGACCCAAGGACCAGGAGGGACCCCUGGGGACCGGGGAGGGAUCCCUGGGGCCAGGAGGGACCCCAGGGCUUGGGGAGGAGCCUUGGGGACCAGGGGGGACCCAAGGGCCCAUGAAGGGACCCAUGGACCAAGGAGAGCCCCCGGACACCAGGGAGGGACCCAAGGACCAGGAGGGACCCCUGGGGACCGGGGAGGGAUCCCAGGGGCCAGGAGGGACCCCAGGGCUUGGGGAGGAGCCUUGGGGACCAGGGGGGACCCAAGGGCCCAUGGAGGCACCCAUGGACCAAGAAGAGCCCCCGGACACCAGGGAGGGACCCAAGGACCAGAAGGGACCCCUGGGGACCGGGGAGGGAUCCCAGGGGCCAGGAGGGACCCCAGGGCCUGGGGAGGAGCCUUGGGGACCAGGGGGGACCCAAGGGCCCAUGGAGGCACCCAUGGACCAAGAAGAGCCCCCGGACACCAGGGAGGGACCCAAGGGCCAAGAGGGACACCAGGGACCAAGAGGGAUCYCAUGGACCAGCAGGGACCCCAGGGAAUGGGGAGCAACCCAUGAACCAGGAGCCGGGGUGGGGACCCCAAGGACCUCGCAGGGGGGGGGACCCAAGUGUCCGGGUGGGGGGGGUCAGGCCCUGACGCGGUCCCUGCUCGCAGGGGUGAGGCAGGACUCACCGGGCUCCUUGGUGCCGCUGCCGGUGCUGGCGGGCUGCGUGCUGGGAGCCUUCGCGCUGGGCGCCCUGGCCGCCGGGCUGCUGGCCACCUGCUACCGGGCUCCCGCAGCACCCAAGGGUGCCGAGAC
RNAcentral lists this long non-coding RNA (1402 nucleotides) under Apteryx haastii (Great spotted kiwi). RNAcentral describes it as "lncRNA (ENSAHAG00000008985.1)". The record is from RNAcentral. Lineage: Eukaryota; Metazoa; Chordata; Aves; Apterygiformes; Apterygidae.